Molecule: non-coding RNA, 652 nt
Organism: Trichomycterus rosablanca
Lineage: Eukaryota; Metazoa; Chordata; Actinopteri; Siluriformes; Trichomycteridae
Source: the annotation of a RefSeq genome assembly
AUGAUGUUCCUGUAUUCUCUUCUACUCCUCUCAGCUAUACAAUGGAAGAGUUUGGCACAGUCAGUAAAACCACUGAAUGAUGUAGUAAAUGCAGCAGUGGGUCACAGCAUUGUUCUCUCUUGUGAAUAUAAGAGUACUGAUGAUCUGCAGUGGUAUCGUCAGUAUGCUGGAUCUACACCAGAGUUUAUUGUUUCUAUCGGUACACAUCAGUCCUCUGAGAACUCAAACAUUCCUGGUUUAUCAGCAACAAUUAAUGGAUCAGAAAACCUUGUGAAUCUGAAGAUCUCCUCUGCUGCAGUAUCAGAUUCUGCUCUGUACUAUUGUGCCAUGAGGCCCACAGUAACAGGAAACUCUACAAUGCUGUACAAAAACCAGUGUAUGCAGACACAGACUGAGUAACACUUGCUUUAUCUUUUAGGCUUUAUGACACACUUAUAAAGCCACAUUCUAUACAUUUAAAUAUAAACUAGAAUAAUGCCUGACAAGUAUUAAGGCAUUUGUCAUUGUUAUAACUCACUCACUCGCUCACUAUCGCUCAACUUUCAUCACUAUAUAGUGUUCAAAUGUUUAAUACCUGUAUAGAGUAAAAAGAAACAACUGACGUAGUGUAUAGCAAAAACUGUAAUGGUUAAGGUGCAACCUUUAAUAAUAA